CUCGUGGUGCGCCGUUUUUUAAGCCCAUCAGAAAAGCGCAGUAUUCGGGUGGGAGUGACCCGACUUUCCAGGUGCCGUCCAUCACCCCUUUCUUUGACUCGGAAAGGGAACUCCCUGACCCCUUGCGCUUCCCGAGUGAGGCAAUGCCUCGCCCUGCUUCGACUCGCGCAUGGUGCGCGCACGCACUGACCUGCGCCCACUGUCUGGCACUCCCUAGUGAGAUGAACCCGGUACCUCAGAUGGAAAUGCAGAAAUCACCAGUCUUCUGCGUCGCUCACGCUGGGAGCUGUAGACCGGAGCUGUUCCUAUUCGGCCAUCUUGUCUCCUCCCGUGAACUGGAAAUUCCCUGUCUCCCCUUAACCAGCACUGGAAGCAGAUGGGAAGAGAAUAGCUGUGACUGACUCACACUCUAACCCAGCAACCCUCAGCAUACAAGUGGGAGACCAUAAAGUUUUUCAAGACCCCAAAAGAGGCCAAAGGUCUGAUAAUUGCUGGGAGAAGGUCCACUAUCCAAGAAGAGAAGAGGAAAAGGAAUUAAAGUCUCCAAGCACUGGGGAUGCAAGAAGAGAGUUGCACAGGAGAGAAAGAAGAAGUUGUCCACGGGGUGACCCUGCAAUUGGAGGGAAAUGCAUGUGGAUAUGUGCAGGGAGUCUAGGAAGUGAAGCCUUAGUGAUCAUUUACAAGAAUGAGGGUUAGGUAAAAUAAGGGAUGCAAAGCCACCUGUAGUCUAUUCUAACCUCACUCCAUCACUCUAUACAAUCUGUGUUUUAUCAUCUGAAAUGUUAAGUAAAGACCUGUUUGGGUCUUCUUCAGAAUCCCAUACAUUUGAGUUCAUUAGUCAGAAAAAGGGAAAAUACCACCACCCCAUCCUGGAAUGGCAGUCAUGUACACUUUUAUAAUGAGAGAUUGGGCAGCAAAGGGGGCCCCUUGUGGACCUCACCCAG
Molecule: long non-coding RNA, 944 nt
Filed under: Homo sapiens (human)
Lineage: Eukaryota; Metazoa; Chordata; Mammalia; Primates; Hominidae
Description: long intergenic non-protein coding RNA 491
Source: RNAcentral